UCUGCCUCCCAAGUGCAUUAAAGGCCUUCGCCACCACGCCGGGCUUUGAUAGAACAUCUUAACUCCCCGCCUAGCCAGGGCAACUGAGAAGUAGAGGGGAGGUGACUGAAGGUUGGAAACCACCAAAAAUGGAGUCCUGGUCAGGAGGAUUUGCAGAGCACUCCUGCGAGCUAACCACUGACUUCAGGCUGCGUGGGCUCAAGGGAGGGGCUCGGGGCCCAGACCAGCUAAGUUUAGUUUCACGGCCCAUCACCAUCCACAUGCAUCCUGGAGCUGGGAAGUGUUUUCUUUUGCCUUGAAUAGUCCCAUCUACAGGCCCAAACCAAUAUGCAUAGCGUGAUUAAUAAAACCAUUCCCGCUGGCUUCCCUCUCAGAUGAUGCAAAAGUGAAUAUCUUCAUGCCUUUCUUUUCCUUUUCUUCCCCUUUCAUUGACCAUUUCCUCAAAGAGUUUAUUACUUAGCCAAACUGUACUGUGACUUCCUCUGUAUUAUAUUAGAACUUUCCAGAAAGUUGAUAAUGAAGCUGGGCGUGCUAAUCCAUUCCCAUAAAUCCAAAGUUGGGAAGUCGAGGCAGUAGAAACAGGAACUUUUUAAAGCUGACCUGGGCCGUUGGGACCCUGCCACCCAUACAUGGGGAAAUGUGUCCCUUCAUAAAGACUCCUGACAUAAAGUCAAGCGUGGCAAUCUAAGCUUAGAUCCCCAGCCAGCACUCACCUAAAAGCCAGGUUCGACUGUGCCCAUCUGUAAUCCACGUGCAGGAGGGAGGAGAAGAGAGGCCUGUCAUUGGAUGUCAUUUUCUGGACUCCACAUGCACAUGCAGAUACACACACAUACACACAAACACUAAUAGUGAUAGUUUUUAAAAAGUUAAUAAUGGGAUGGAGAGUUGGCUCAUAAGCUAAGCGCACUUGUUGCUCUUGCAGAAAACCCAAGUUAGAUUCCCAGCAACAACACGCUAGUUCACAACCAUCUAUAAUUCUACUUCCAAGGGAUCCAGAACUCCCUUCUGGCCUCCGAGGAUACCACACGUAUGGCACAUAUAUAUGUUUGCAGGCAAAACACUCAUACACUGGAAAUGAAAAAUAAUUGUUUUUAAAGUUAGUAAUAACAAUCUAGUAACAAUUCAAGUAGUUAGGACUUGAAUGUCUACUACUCUUAGGCACUGAUCUGGGCUCAGAAAGAGGUCCUGCCCUCACAGACCUCCCAGUCUAAGUCAGGAGGCCAGGAGUAACCCCAUCGUUGUUUAACACAAGUGGCACACUGAAAACCAGCACAGAGCAAACAGUGCCCCUAAUGUGAGGAUGACAUCAGAUUUAUAGCUCCCAUAGGGCUGGAGAUAAUGGCGUGUGGAGUGACUUUACUACUGAAUUACCUUAAAGAGUAGUCCCUGGGGACUGCAUUGCCUUUUGGGGUUUAGAGUUAACCUGCAGUGUUCCUUCCCCUCCCCUACUGAUCAAGGUGAAGUUAGUGGAAGUGAAGAAGUAAUUACAAACUUAAGGACUGGCAAGAUGGCUCAGCCAGCCGUGUGCUGGUUAGCUCUUUGACAUCUUGACACAAGCAAGCCAGGGUCAUCUGUUAACGGGGAACUUGAAGUGAGAGGAUGGCUCCAUCAGAUUGGCCUGCCAGCAAGUCUGGAGGACAUUUUCCUGAUUUGUUUGAUGUGGGAGGCCCUGCCCACUGUGGGCGGUGCCAGCAAGCAGGUUGAGCAAGCCCGGAGGAGCAAGCCAGUAAGCAACAUUUCCCAUAGCUUCUGUUUUCAGGUCCUGCCUCCAGGUUCCUUCCCUGGUUUCCCUUGGUUAUAGACAAUGUUGCCAAAAGACUCUUUCCUCCCUAAAUUGCUAACUAAGAUAACUAGGGUGAAGGUACUUGCCACCAAGCCUGAUGACUUGAGUUUGACCACCACAUGGUGGGAGGAGAGGACCUGCUCAUCUCGGAGCAGCCAGAUCUUGGGGUACAGAAUUUAGCAUUGAGUACAGAGCAGCACCAGACCAACCCACUACAUUCCCCACUUUCUAUCUAAAUAAAAAGGCUCUUUCUCUUAUAAUAAUAAACAUACAGAAGGAACAAUCAUGAAACAAUUAUGAAAACUAUUAAAUGAGAGUUACAUUCAAAAAGUCCAGUCUUUUAGUAUUUGGCAGUGUUUAGAUAAAAUAUUUUAUUGUGUACCCUAUCUUGAUAAGUUCAGAUUUCUCUAUCUAAAUCAUUUUUUCAUUACCAUCUUAAGCAUUUUAAGUUCUCUAAUUUCAUAACUUAGAGUUAGCAACCUUAAGACAUCCAUUUAUAAUUUCCCCUAAUCUUCAUAAUUUGUGUGUAUCACAUCCUGAAAAACAUCUCCUUAGAUCUUAAAACGCUUUCGAGAUCCUUUCUAGUUUAACUGUGAGACUAUAGCUAUCUAGUGUUCAAUUCCAUCAGAGCCCUGAGAAGGGAUAAACAUUACCUGAGCAUGCAGGAAAUGCAGAGCAGCAGCUUCCAAGAGUACAGCAAUGGCGGACAGCCGACUCAGGCUCCGAGCCACGUAACCCUCUUGUCUCUUCAUGUCUGAAGUAACAGUAAGAGCCUGGUGUAGAAGUGAAGGCGGCUGUGGUUCAAAGCCAAUAGAAAAGGAGGUGUAGGCUGCUGGGCGUGUAGCUCGUCGGUAGAGCAUUCACUUGGCAUGUGUGAAAUCCUGAGUUCACUCCUCAGCACCACGGAAAGCAGGAAUGAUGCUACCACACCUGCAGUCCUAGUACCCGAGAGGCAGAGGCAGGUAGAUCAGGAACUCAAGGCCAGCCUGAGCUAGAGACUGGGAAGGAAGAGGAGGGAGGGGGAAAAGG
Molecule: long non-coding RNA, 2812 nt
Filed under: Mus musculus (house mouse)
Lineage: Eukaryota; Metazoa; Chordata; Mammalia; Rodentia; Muridae
Description: long non-coding RNA chr5:136954165-136956977
Rfam family: tRNA (bases 2618-2686)
Source: RNAcentral